UCUUAUCUUACCAUCUCCUUAUCCUGAUCCCAAAGCUUUAUCUCUGAAACAUCUAAUUCAAUAGUUGGUAACUAAAUCCAAAAUUGAAAAACUUAAGCCCAAACAAUUCCCUGGCUUCAAAAGUUUUUUAUCCACCAAACACUCUCUUCGUGUGUUGUCUAGUAUUUAUCAUGAACAAGAACCUAGUUGUUUCACAUAGGCUAUGUCUAGCUCUGAAUGGCGGGAUGCUAUGGAAGGUUAGAACGAGUUGUUGGUUGAUGGGUGAUGAUGUGCAGUCGUGGUCUUAGAAUUCUUUGGACUCAAUAAAUUUAAAUCCGGUGUAACAUGACUCAAUGAUUUUAUUUCUAGCAAUUGUUUUCAUUUUAUUAUUAUGUAGAUAUGUGAUUUAGAACA
Molecule: long non-coding RNA, 393 nt
Organism: Olea europaea var. sylvestris
Lineage: Eukaryota; Viridiplantae; Streptophyta; Magnoliopsida; Lamiales; Oleaceae
Exons: 2
Source: RefSeq, a predicted model, not a curated record